AUACCUAUAAGUACUUGAUCUAAUCGUCUAACUUUUCAUUCUCUAAAAACCUGAAUGAAAAGUUAGAUGAUUAGAUCAAACACUUAUAGGUAUCGAAUUGAGCUAAUUUCUCGCGGAGGCCCUUGAAAAAAUAUUUUAAACAUAAUUAACAGAUCGGAUUAUUUGUAUGGGACCCUUAGUGGGCCCCACAACGCAAUCUGUGCACAGACUUGCUGUGUCAGUAGCAAGACUCCUUAAUUUAAGUCUCUAAUCCAGAUUGUUAAAAUCCUAUAUAUAGACACCUCAGUCAUCAAAAUUCCAAAGAAUCCUCCAUCUGUAUUACUCAUAAGUUUAUAACCAAAAGAAAUGAAGAAGGCUUCACUCCUGUCUUUCUUUGUCGUCCUCUUGCUUAUUGCAUCUGGUGGUGAGUCGAGGGUUAUUGCAGGUGGUGAGUCAAAGGUGGGGAUGAAAAUAAACUGUAAGCCUGAACUGGACUGUGAUAUUGUCUGCCAUAAUGGCCCAGCCCACUGUGUUAAUCACUUCUGCAUUUGCGACCAUAAGCAUCAUCAAGGAGUAUCUACUGCUGAUGUCAAAUGACUGUAAUGUCCUUGUGCCUAUUGUGUUUUUACCAUCCCUUGCAAGAAUGAAUAAACAAUACUCCAUCCGUCUCAGUUUGUUUGUCAAAUUUCGACAUACGUGCCUUUUAAAAAAUUGUUUAUAUGUCACAAUUUAUAAUGUUUUACAUAAUUUCAAAAACAUCAUAUUUUAGAUUUAAUUGAGAUCUAUUAAACAAUAUCCAUAUUGCAUAUAAAAAACAUUAUAAAUUAAAACAUAUAGACAAUUUUGUAAGAAGUCCCAAAUAGUGAAAAGGAACAAACAAUUCGUGACGGAGGGAGUAUUAAACUUGAAUUGAUUAUUCUGAAUCAUGGUCAUUAGUUAGUACAUGUUGAGGUGAUGGAUCCUCCCAAGUAUUAUGCCCAUUUGUGGACCUUACUCGAGCCCAUCUCAAUAAUUAGAACUGUUCACCUUUUAGAGCCUGUCAAGAAUAUUAACCAUGCUAAAAAAAUCAUGUUUAUCCGAUGCGGUUGGUAUUAUAUUUUUAUUUAAUGGGUUCUAAUCCAGUGUUAUAAUUCUUCCCCUUCCAGAUAAAUAUAUUUUGAAAUCAUAUCAACAAAUAUUUGAUCAAUGUAAUUUUUGGCGUGAUUGAUAUUCUCGACGACUCUAGAAGCGAAUGGCUCUAGUCACCAACGAGGAGCCGACAAAGACCCACAAACCUUAGAAUCCAUUACCUAAAACUUGUUCUUUCCAAGAGGCUCAUGUCAUUGCCCCACAGUAUCAAGAUAACACCUGCUAUUGUUUUUUGUAUGGUUUGUUUUUACCACUCCAUACUAAUGAUUUUUGCUCGUAUUUCAUCCUAGAAAAAGGUGUUUGAUUUUUGCUCUUUUAUCGGAUUGUAGCAAUUAGAACAUUCAAUGUGGAGAUGCUAAUAGUGUAAAUGUUAAAGUCGUACAAAAAUUACAGUAAUUUCCAUUCUCCAUGUCAAGUGUAUAAUUAUGCAAGGACAUGGCUUGUCGUUGCAUUGGGCAGUUGGCCAGUUGUCGGCACAUGCGGGCUCACUUUCAAGAUUUGAAUCGUUCAUGUCAUAAAGCUGCACAACAACUUCAACCAUGCCAAAAAUCAUCACGUUACUUGAAUACUAAUUAAUAUCUAUUCCGUGUAAUUUAUUCUUUAUUAAACUGGGUUUCGAUCCAUUGCACCCAAAUUCAUUUUAAAAAACGUAAAUGCACUUCGAUUAGAUACUUAUUAAUCAAUAUCCGAUUAACAUAAUUUUUGACACGACUAAAGCUCUCAACAAGCUUACCAGAGGAAUAGUUCUAAUCUUGAAAGUGAACCCGGCAUGGGCCAAUUCCAAUUCCAAUUUAUUGGUGCCAAUUCCCAUCUCAAUGUCUCAAUUCGGAUAUAUUCAAAAAAAUUCAAUACUUCUGUAACUUCUCAUCCAACGUGGGAGCAAGUUUCAAACUAUAGAAUAGAUAGGCCAAUUAAUAGUUACAGAAUAGAUGGCUCAAACCAAGAAAUAGUAGUCAAAUAUUUUUUCUCCAACGCCAAGAAAUUGGGAAGGUAUAUUGAUACCUACUUUAAUAAUCUAAAGUAUCCCACUCUCUACAGACCAUCCUUCUGCAAUUAUAGACACAAAACUGAAAGUUGAAAAGGAAAAAAACAUUGAAGAAAAACUCGAGGGGGGGAAAAGCAAAGCAAAAUAUCGGCCUGCCUCCUCGCGUGUCUGCAAUUUCGUGAAAUAAUCAGAUCAAAUGAAGUCUCAUCUGCGGUUUUUCCAUUCUUCCUGCCACCCUGCAACUAUCGCAUCACGAUAUUGUAAAAGCUCUCUGAUUCAGAAAAUAGCUCAUCUAGCAAUAGCUCAUGUUGCAAGCGCAUUAUAGGAAAUAAUCCGGCGUUCUUCGUGUCACAUCCGGCUCUCCCCUCCUUGGAGCUGGCUCAAACUG
This is a long non-coding RNA of Rhododendron vialii, 2480 nucleotides long. RefSeq lists it as uncharacterized. The transcript is spliced from 2 exons. The record is from RefSeq and is a predicted model, not a curated record. Lineage: Eukaryota; Viridiplantae; Streptophyta; Magnoliopsida; Ericales; Ericaceae.